GAGUUUGAUCCUGGCUCAGAACGUACGCYGGCGGCACGCUAACACAUGCAAGUCGAACGCAGUAGCAAUACUGAGUGGCAAACGGGUGAGUAUAAUGUGGGAAUCUGCCUUUUGGUUUGGAAUAACACGGGGAAACUUGUGCUAAUACCGAAUAAGCCCUUACGGGGAAAGUUUUAACGCCGAAAGAUGAGCCCGCACUUGAUUAGCUAGUUGGUAAGGUAAAAGCUUACCAAGGCAACGAUCAAUAGCUGUUCUUAGAGGAAGACCAGCCACAUUGGGACUGAGACACGGCCCAGACUCCUACGGGAGGCAGCAGUGGGGAAUCUUGCACAAUGGGGGAAACCCUGAUGCAGCGAUGCCGCGUGAGUGAAGAAGGCCUUUGGGUUGUAAAACUCUUUCGUCGGGGAAGAAAAUGACUGUACCCGAAUAAGAAGGUCCGGCUAACUUCGUGCCAGCAGCCGCGGUAAUACGAAGGGACCUAGCGUAGUUCGGAAUUACUGGGCUUAAAGAGCUCGUAGGUGGUUAAAAAAGUUGAUGGUGAAAUCCCAAGGCUCAACCUUGGAACUGCCAUCAAAACUUUUUAGCUAGAGUGUGAUAGAGGUAAGUGGAAUUUCUAGUGUAGAGGUGAAAUUCGUAGAUAUUAGAAAGAACACCAAAUGCGAAGGCAACUUACUGGGUCACUACUGACACUGAGGAGCGAAACAUGGGGUAGCGAAGAGGAUUAGAUACCCUCGUAGUCCAUGCCGUAAACGAUGUGUGCUAGACGUUGGAAAUAUAUUUUUCAGUGUCGCAGCGAAAGCAUUAAAGCACACCGCCUGGGGGAGUACGACCGCAAGUUAAAAACUCAAAUGAAUUGACGGGGACCCGCACAAGCAGUGGAGCAUGUGGUUUAAUUCGAAGAUACGCGCAGAACCUUACCAACACUUGACAUGUUCGUCGCGAGAUAAAG
Molecule: ribosomal RNA, 949 nt
Filed under: uncultured Alphaproteobacteria bacterium
Lineage: Bacteria; Pseudomonadati; Pseudomonadota; Alphaproteobacteria
Description: bacterial SSU rRNA
Rfam family: Bacterial small subunit ribosomal RNA
Source: RNAcentral